RNAcentral lists this ribosomal RNA (401 nucleotides) under uncultured bacterium. RNAcentral describes it as "bacterial SSU rRNA". It matches the Rfam family "Bacterial small subunit ribosomal RNA", at positions 355 to 773 of the family's 1533-position model. The record is from RNAcentral.
UGGGGAAUAUUGGACAAUGGGGGCAACCCUGAUCCAGCAAUGCCGCGUGAGUGAUGAAGGCCUUAGGGUUGUAAAGCUCUUUUACCGGGGACGCUGAUGACGGUACCCGGAGAAUAAGCCCCGGCUAACUUCGUGCCAGCAGCCGCGGUAAUACGAAGGGGGCGAGCGUUGUUCGGAGUUACUGGGCGUAAAGGGCGCGUAGGCGGCGAUCCAAGUUAGGCGUGAAAGCCCCGGGCUUAACCUGGGAAUUGCGCUUAAGACUGGAUUGCUUGAGUGCGGGAGAGGUGAGUGGAAUUCCCAGUGUAGAGGUGAAAUUCGUAGAUAUUGGGAAGAACACCAGUGGCGAAGGCGGCUCACUGGCCCGCAACUGACGCUGAGGCGCGAAAGCGUGGGGAGCAAAC